This 571-nucleotide long non-coding RNA is filed under the name Homo sapiens (human). RNAcentral describes it as "HSALNT0298221". Lineage: Eukaryota; Metazoa; Chordata; Mammalia; Primates; Hominidae. The record is from RNAcentral.
UUCGGGACAAAAUACCGCAGCGCUCACGCUUCGCCCGCCACUGCCGCCUAGAAUGAGGAGGAGGAGGAGGAAGGAAAGAUUUUCUAAAACGAGGAAGCUGAUUCGCAGAUUGAGGGCAGAUCUGGGCAAACGAUCUACGGAUCUUUAUGACCCACUUUGUCAACAUGGAUUGGGAAAGGAAAAACUAAUCCUAGAGGUAGUAAAAGUUGAUGCCUAAAUGUAGACAGUGCAAAUGCAGGGAACAUUUGGAGAUUUUAAAACCUUACAGCGUUUACCCCAGAAAACUGCUUACUUUACCCUCUUCAAUUUAAUCCCCAAUCUCCCAAGCAGUUUUUUUGUUUUGUUUUUUGCUUUUGUUUGUUAAGCAGGAAGGAAACCAAAGGACAAAAACCCCUAGACUGUGUAAUGCCCAGCAACCUAUUUCUGGAAUAUAGUAAGCACUCAACUAAUGUUAGACACACGCAGAAAACACACAAUUUUAUGCGCUUGUUUAUUUAUUUGUUUUUGCUUUAAACGGUAUCUAUUCAAACCCAAAACCUUAGUGGCUAUUAAAAUAUUUUUUAAAUCGGAA